UGGGGAAUCUUGGACAAUGGGCGCAAGCCUGAUCCAGCCAUGCCGCGUGGAUGAUGAAGGCCUUAGGGUUGUAAAAUCCUUUCGUGGGGGACGAUAAUGACGGUACCCCAAGAAGAAGCUCCGGCUAACUUCGUGCCAGCAGCCGCGGUAAUACGAAGGGGGCUAGCGUUGUUCGGAUUUACUGGGCGUAAAGCGCGUGUAGGCGGGUCGUUAAGUUGGGGGUGAAAUCCCGAGGCUCAACCUCGGAACUGCCUUCAAAACUGGCGACCUGGACUCAAGUAGAGGCAAGUGGAAUUGCGAGUGUAGAGGUGAAAUUCGUAGAUAUUCGCAGGGAACACCAGUGGCGAAGGCGACUUGCUGGACUUGUAGUGACGCUGAGACGCGAAAGCGUGGGGAGCAAAC
Molecule: ribosomal RNA, 402 nt
Filed under: uncultured bacterium
Lineage: Bacteria
Description: bacterial SSU rRNA
Rfam family: Bacterial small subunit ribosomal RNA
Source: RNAcentral